This 707-nucleotide long non-coding RNA is filed under the name Olea europaea (common olive). RNAcentral's name for it is "long non-coding RNA (OEUR_LNC003737)". Lineage: Eukaryota; Viridiplantae; Streptophyta; Magnoliopsida; Lamiales; Oleaceae. The record is from RNAcentral.
CUCCCUUAAUUUAUCAAGUUGCAAAUACUAUGUAAUCAAAGAAUGAUUAUAUUCCUAUACCCAUGUCUUGAAACGACAAAAUAACAACAUAGAAAACAAUGUAAACAUAAUCAAACAAAUGCUAAUCAACGAUAUUUUCGAUGUAUAUUUAAAAUCACUGAUACAUAAUAAACCCAAUAGAACUAAUUGGGGUGUUUCGAAGAAUUAAGUAGAGAGGAUUAAUAUGGACUCGAAAACAAGAGAUCCUUCAUCAAAUUCCUCGAGCCCCAUAAAGUCCAAUGGAAGCAACCUUCUUGACUCUUUUGAACUCCAAGCAAUAACACAACAGCUUAACCGCGCAAUCUGUGCCUCGAAUGGCUUGUCGUCGUCUCCUCGCUUGAGCUACCUCGUAAAAUCUCCGUUCUAUCUCAGUCGACUGGACCGGAUAUAUAAAGAGAAUGCAAAGAUGUCCAAGAAAAUUUCUUGCUCCAAAAGAGAUUUUGGAGAGGGUCGAAGUGGAAAAGAUGCAAAAGGAGCAAGAGGAUUUGUGCUAUUGAUAUGGAAUAAGGUAAAGCAGCGAUUUGUAACUUGUAAGAGUUAAUAAAAGACAUAGUUAAAGGUCCAAUUGAAUAUGUAGAUUGAACUUUAUUGUAAUAUUGUGUGUAUAUGUAACUUAAUUUUCUGUCGUCGCCGUUGGUAAUGUACUUUUAUUGUUGUUGUUCACGAAC